CCGUGCUAGAUGGGGAGGUAGCGGUGCCCUGUACCUGCAACCCGCUAUAGCAGGAUUGAGUUCCUAUUUUGAGGCCUAUGCUUUUGUAGGGCUGGCUUAAGUAAGUGGUGACGACGAUUGGGUCCUGCGCAAUAGCACGCUAUGAAUUCCGUCAGGUCCGGAAGGAAGCAGCGGUAAGUAGUUGCUGUUAUGUGCCGCGGGGAAGCCUGAUCCGAGCUAACUGCUUGGGUAUCGCCUAUGAACUUAGGUCGAAGGUAGGGCGCGG
Molecule: signal recognition particle RNA, 265 nt
Filed under: Alkalicella caledoniensis
Lineage: Bacteria; Bacillati; Bacillota; Clostridia; Eubacteriales; Proteinivoracaceae
Description: Bacterial large signal recognition particle RNA
Rfam family: Bacterial large signal recognition particle RNA
About the family: The signal recognition particle (SRP) is a universally conserved ribonucleoprotein involved in the co-translational targeting of proteins to membranes.
Source: Rfam by way of RNAcentral